UACCGAGUGAACAAAGCUUUCUUUCUUUUUCUUUUUUUUUUUUUAACAUUCUUCCCUGCAGGGAUCUUUAUUCCCUAGUCUGGGAGUUUGAGAAUGGGUGAGAGAAUUUCAGUCUCCUGGUUUCUAAUCUCUGGGCUGACAAGGCUUGCAAUGUGACCUUGAGCAUAUUAUUUAAACUCUCAACAUCGAAUUCACCACUGUUUAUGCUCUCUGCAACCUCGGUGUCAUUAUACUGCAUCUUCUUGAAUCUCUCAUUUUCCUGGACAAGGGCAAUGACGACAGAUCUCAUUGGACACAGAGAAAAGGAGCAAGAUGGAGAGAAUUUUUGUCUGUAUGAGAAACAGGAGGUGUGUAAUGGUGAAGUGCAUCUGAAGUGAAGCAGAUGGAUUCCUCUGCAUGGGUGGAAGAGAAAGGGGGUCUGUAGCUUGGUGUAAGGCUGCAUUUAUGCUGUGCAGAGCAACCGUCUGUAAGGCUGUCAGAGCUGAACGCAGCCAACCUGAAUCAAUCAGCCAUGCCAUAUUACUUCAGACCGAGCGCCCUGCUCUGAUGUUUCUGUGGCUCAAGUUAGUACAUCUAUGUGGCACCAUGGAGUGCUGAGUAUGGCUCAUUCAGAGCGUGUCCCAAGGAUCUCCAUACAGCACUGCAUGCUCUGUUUAUACUUGCAAACUCAUUGCCAAGUGCUUGCAGGGAAAUGCAACUGCUAGCCCAGGUGCUGAAGCAGAUACAUAGGUAAAGC
RNAcentral lists this long non-coding RNA (736 nucleotides) under Numida meleagris (helmeted guineafowl). Its description in RNAcentral is "lncRNA (ENSNMEG00000014341.1)". The record is from RNAcentral. Lineage: Eukaryota; Metazoa; Chordata; Aves; Galliformes; Numididae.